GGCGGGAGCGGCCGGCGGCGCGGCGGCGGCUGUCAGUCUGUGCCGAGUGAGCGCGGUGGCAUGGCGUCCCUGUCAGCGAUGCUUCCGUACGAGUCGGCGGGAAUCUUUGAGCAGCCGAAGCAGAAGUUCGCCUUCAAAGUGCCGCGCGUGGUCUCCGACCAGAAGGGCAAGUUCGAGCAGGAUGACUGGUUCAAGAAGGUGACACGUGCCUCGGAGGCGAGGUACACCGGAAACCGCGAGAGGCCCAUGGAGGAGCGCAGGGCCAAGUUCCAGAGUGAUCUCAAGACCAACGGCCGCACUGAGCUGGCACUGACUCAGAACGGGCUAAACCUCAUCCUGGAGUUCGACAUUUCACCAAACGGCUACACGGGCCGUGCGCCGGACGUGGACUUCGCCAAGGAGCCGGGAAUGGUCCACCUCACCUCCAAGAGCAUCAUCCUGAACGGCGUGUGCGUCAGGUGGCGGGGCGUCUUCAACCUGGAGAGCCUGAACGGCACCGGCUCCAUCGAGUUUGACGACGAGAUGGCCCAGGAGGAGGAUAACCGUCUGAGGCAGCAGAUGGAGUACUAUAAUCAGAGGAUACGCGACUUCAAUGACCGACAGAAGUACAAACGAGAGGCCGACUGACCGGAUGGCCGCGACUGACGGUGUGAUAUUGGGUGUACCAUUGACGCAGAGGCGGCGCCAGGCGACUGCGGAGGGCGGCACCGGCCCCCCACCAGGGGCGGCGGCAGACGGCAGGCGCCGCGGACCGUGCAAUAGCCGCGCCUGGCCGCCGCCCGCCGCGGCGGUGACCUGGGACCGGUCGCCAGUGACCUGUAACUGCAGUGACCUGGGCGCCGCCGCCCCUCACUAUGAGCCGGUCCGCCCCCGGCCUGUACCUAUGUAUGUAUUGAGUGGCUGGCGCCAUGUGUUCAGACAGUGCAGUGUAAUUCAUUAUGUACCGACAUGUCUCCUAAUAUAUGUGUAUGAUGUAGAGAA
This 981-nucleotide unclassified non-coding RNA is filed under the name Amphibalanus amphitrite. RNAcentral's name for it is "protein big brother-like, transcript variant X2". The record is from RNAcentral. Lineage: Eukaryota; Metazoa; Arthropoda; Thecostraca; Balanomorpha; Balanidae.